CAUUCAUUUCAGCCUCGAAGCCAAAGUUGUAUUUAAUACAGGUGGAGCAAGACUCGAGCCAAAGGCUCGAAAAAUAGUUUAGGACAGGUGAAAUGGGUCGGAAGCCCAACUAGACUAGGACAGGUCUCGUUGAUUUGGGCCCAAUGGCCUAAAUCCUUUACUUUCUCCUCCCUUCCCCUUUUAUGUGUUUAUUUGUUUAUUAGUUUUGUUUAGACUUAGUUAAAAUCCCUACUAAGUCACCUAAAUCUAUUUUACACAAGUCUUUUUUUUGAAAAAAAUCAAAUCACUAUUUCAACA
This 297-nucleotide long non-coding RNA is filed under the name Capsicum annuum. RNAcentral's name for it is "long non-coding RNA (CANN_LNC001215)". Lineage: Eukaryota; Viridiplantae; Streptophyta; Magnoliopsida; Solanales; Solanaceae. The record is from RNAcentral.